UCUUUCUCUUUCUCUUUCUCUUUCUCUUUCUCUUUGUCUUUGUCUUUCUUGUUGUGGUUCAAGCAAGGCAGAGAAAGAAAGAUGAAGUUUCUUU
Molecule: non-coding RNA, 94 nt
Filed under: Paramoeba aestuarina
Lineage: Eukaryota; Discosea; Flabellinia; Dactylopodida; Paramoebidae
Source: RNAcentral